This 794-nucleotide ribosomal RNA is filed under the name Protrelleta floridana. Its description in RNAcentral is "partial large subunit ribosomal RNA". It matches the Rfam family "Eukaryotic large subunit ribosomal RNA", at positions 386 to 910 of the family's 3401-position model. Lineage: Eukaryota; Metazoa; Nematoda; Chromadorea; Rhabditida; Protrelloididae. The record is from RNAcentral.
AGAAGGAAACGGAUAGAGUUGACGAAACACGUUGGCAUUCAAUCGUUGUAACGUUGCGGUGCAUUCACAUGUAAGGCCUACUUACAUCUGUCAAAGGAUGUGGGUAUGGUUGUGAGCAGCACUUGUGUUGUCUUUGUUGGACCGCAUGCGUUUGCGCACGGUGUAUUUGCCAACGGUAUGCGCUGAGAAGAUCGUUGUGAUGUGCUAAUAGCUAACUUGCUGUAGAGGACCAUACUCUUUGAAUGAGCGUGGAAACUUUGGCUAGCUAUAGGCAUGUUCGCUUAAUGAUCGCUAAUUAUAGCAAUGCAUUCACUCGGCGAGCUUAAAAACGCACAUUUCUUCUGUCGGUUUGUAUGAGAUUGAUGUGGCUACUGAGCGGUCGCUUGUCGACUUGCUUGUAUGCUAACAUUGGUUGAUCGAUGUUGAAUGUGAGUUGGAGUGUUGAAAAAUGCGUCUCAGUGUGAAAGUCGACCACCUAUCCGACCCGUCUUGAAACACGGACCAAGGAGUCUAGCAUAUGCGCAAGUCAUUGGGUGUUAAAAACCUAAAGGCGCAAUGAAAGUAGAGAUCGCUUUAAUGCGGUUGAUAUGGGAUCCUUGUGUGCUUAUGCUAGCGUUGUUAGUAUAAGUAAGCUUGGCGCACCAUAGCCCCGUCUACGUUGCUUGCAAUAGGGCGGAGGUAGAGCGCAUAUGCUGGUACCCGAAAGAUGGUGAACUAUGCCUGAGCAGGAUGAAGCCAGAGGAAACUCUGGUGGAGGUCCGAAGCGGUUCUGACGUGCAAAUCGAUCGUCUGAC